This 406-nucleotide ribosomal RNA is filed under the name uncultured bacterium. RNAcentral describes it as "bacterial SSU rRNA". It matches the Rfam family "Bacterial small subunit ribosomal RNA", at positions 354 to 776 of the family's 1533-position model. The record is from RNAcentral.
GCAGGGAAUCUUGCGCAAUGGGCGAAAGCCUGACGCAGCGACACCGCGUGGGGGAAGAAGGCCUUAGGGUUGUAAACCCCUUUUCUCGGGGAAGAGAACGGACGGUACCCGAGGAAUAAGGUUCGGCUAACUACGUGCCAGCAGCCGCGGUAACACGUAGGAACCGAGCGUUGUCCGGAUUUACUGGGCGUAAAGGGCGAGUAGGCGGCUCGUUAAGUCUCAUGUGAAAUCUCCCGGCUUAACUGGGAGGGGUCAUGGGAUACUGGCAAGCUUGAGGGCAGUAGAGGAAAGUGGAAUUCCCGGAGUAGUGGUGGAAUGCGUAGAUACCGGGAGGAACACCAGUGGCGAAAGCGACUUUCUGGGCUGUACCUGACGCUGAGGCGCGAAAGCAUGGGGAGCAAACCGG